Molecule: small nuclear RNA, 103 nt
Organism: Saimiri boliviensis boliviensis (Bolivian squirrel monkey)
Lineage: Eukaryota; Metazoa; Chordata; Mammalia; Primates; Cebidae
Source: RefSeq, a predicted model, not a curated record
GUGUUUGUUUUGGCAGCACAGGCACUAAAAUUGGAGCCAUACAGAGAUUAACAUGCCCCUGUGCAAGGAUGACAUGCAAGUUUAUGAAGCAUUUCAUAUUUAU